Long non-coding RNA from Phyllopteryx taeniolatus (common seadragon), 7609 nucleotides. RefSeq lists it as uncharacterized. The record is from RefSeq and is a predicted model, not a curated record. The transcript has 2 exons. NCBI's taxonomy places the organism in Eukaryota, Metazoa, Chordata, Actinopteri, Syngnathiformes, Syngnathidae.
GAAUAUAGAAUACUUUAUAUUCUAAUAUGUAAUUCUAUAUGUAAUAGAAUAUAAUAUAGAGUUUCAGGGUCUAACUAGCUUGGAAGAGGAUGUGUAUUACAGUAUAAUCAGAUAAGGGGGUAGGGGUUUUAUUGCAGGAAAACCCCCCCAUCAGGUGGUAUUUGGAGACACAUCUCAAGGAAGAAAGGAACUGCGGGGAGCCACUAUAAACAUUGAAUGCAGGAAUGCAGGCGACACCUGGAGCAGAAGUCUGGAGCCAGAUCAAAUGGUCAUCAUUCUGCAGGACAACGAUGACGUCAGAUUACGGACCAAUCAGACGACAGCGAUUACAUACUGGCCUGUUUGAAACAUUGUAUAAGUCUGGGGUAGAAUCAGAUAGUUUCAGUUCGACUACUUUAUCUGCUAAGGAUAAGAUGGGGUAGUUACGAACCCAGAGCUCUGCAAAUGUAUAGACUCCUCUGUCAGGAAUAAAUUGGUUGGUUUUGAUACAUUGUUGUGUACGACGUUCUUUCACGAAAACGAACACGCUUGGAACCACGGGAGUUAAGGUGAUUUUAAAACACAGGUUCCUUUAAAUGGUGAGCCCGACGUGAUCCUGAAAGGACAUUAGUUAAAAAGACAGAGGAGCGGGCAGGAAUUCAGUUGGACUGCGAAUCUCCCCGGUGCACCGAAAUAAAAAAGGUGAGCGGAAGCCUGUUUGUUUAUAUCACGAAUUCUGCACAUUGGAAAUGGCGAAAUUUGGGAGACUUGUGGUACAGUUGUUUUGUUGUCAAUAGUUAAUAAGACGUGUUGUUAAAAUUGCAUAAUUAAAAGUCAGGGUAACGGAGGACCUGACGUCAGGGUAACAAGGUACCUGACAGACCAGGAUCAGAGAAAAUCCUGGAAGUAGGGUAACAAGGUACCUACUUGUCCCGUCGUAGACUGACUUGAAAUCGGACGCGGUUUCAAAUUGUAACGUUUCGGUAGACGUUGGGGAUUUUGGGACCCCCAAAAACCGAUUUAGAACAAGAUGAGUGUGCCACCAAAACUCGGGGUUGUGAAUUGGACAGUCGAGUGUCGAGGUAAUGAAUGUGAUAAGUGUCGGAUUUGUGGAUUGAAAGAGAAAGGCAGAAAAAGAAACAAACAGGAUUAAGAAGUGUGUGGGCAAAGUGGGAAAAAAAAAAAGGAAUGUAAGUUGUUUCACGUAACAGAGAGGUUAUUCUGAAAGGGAAACAAAGAGGAAGGAAAAGUUGGAUGCUGCAGGGUGGAGAGAGAAAAGAGACUUGAAUAAGAAAAUAGAAGAGAAUGAAAAAUUGAGUAGAAAAAUGUAUGAGAUUUGUCUGGUGUGCCCUGCCAUGGCAGCUGUUCAGCGAAGAAAAAAUAAGAGCGACAAAUUCCCCCGCUAAAUACAAUUUACGGACCUUUCCGAAAACGGCCCCAGUGACGUCACUAUAACCGGCAUCGCCGGUCAAGGGGCGGCUCAAAUGGCAGACCAUUUGUAGAGGGGAAAUAAAACUCCUAUCAAUUCCGCACGAGCCCGCAUUCAAAAAGGUGGGUAAAUGUACAAAAAAUUGUCUUUAAAGAUUUUUGAGUUUUUUACAGAAACGGCUGCCCGGACUGGCUGCUGUUGGUGUAAUUUGGAUCCAGGGGCUGAAAAGUUGACGGACAACAUGAGCCUGGCGUGUGGUGACAUAGUGAGAUUGAUACGCGCCUGUUGCAUUUCGGUUCACCAAUCGGAUGAUAUUUUGACACGGUCGGGUCUGAAUAAUGUCGAACCUGAAAUUUUAUUUGCCCCUUUUGCUCCUAUAGUAUUUGCUGUGUGACAUGUUCCCGUCCUCUUCCCCAACGGUGCCGAAGCUUCCGGACUUCAAACCUCUCAUGGAUCCCAGUUCUCACUUCGAACAUUGCAUAAGUAUUUGGACAGAUAAGACAGGAUCACAUCCCUCCCGUUUAAGAGAGGCAAAUGUUAUUUAUAGAAUAGCUUUACUUGAGACCUUGCCGGUUGAAGUUAGGACUGAACUUAUUAAAGACCCUGACCUCAUGAAAGGGGGAGAUAGCUUUUUUAAUUGUCAUGUGUCACACCAUUUGAAACUUUUUGUCGACAGAAAACACAAAUCAUCAGAUGAGGUAAAGGACAUGCAGGAACAACUUUUGAAGCUACAAUUGGCCCAGGCCCGUAAAGUGGCCAUUAAAAAAAAAUACAUAAAUAAAUAAAUAAAUAAAAAUGGAAGCAGAAAAACAGAUGUGGAUGGCGCAGGGGUCAACGAGGAGACGAGGCGGGAGUCGUGACAGAGGACACCAACGGAGGCAGAGGAAGCCCUUGCCGACCUCCAACGGACCAAGCGUGCUUCAAUUGUGUGGAACCCGGAGAGGCCACACCUCAAAGAGGAGGCUACAAAGCUUCACGAGGGAGAGGUGGGCGCGUCCCGGCAACAGCAUCCGCAGCAGGCUCCACAGCAACAAGAGCCAUCUCGCCAGUACUACUGCAAUGAGGCCUGGUCCGAAUGCCCAAUGAGCCCGGAGCCAGGGGACGGAGGAAAGACAGAGCCUCUGAACCCCGCUAAGGGAAGACAACCACCUGAAUGAGCUGUGCAGGGGUGCCCAUGAGUCUGCCGAUUACGACACCAUUAAAGACUGAAAUUGCUGGACAGACGCAUGAACAUCAGUUUGUCCUCAUGAAAAGAGGGGCUCCAGUGAACCUGAUGGGCAGAGAUCUGCUUAUCAAGACCAAGGCUACCAUCCUUUGUAGCCCAGAUGGACUGACGAUACGGGUCCCCGAUGGGACCAUGAUGAACUGUGGAAGAAGUUAUCCUCCAGAUGGAACAUGAUACAACAUGAACUUCCGGAAGCAACUGCUGACAUAUAUUGGGCCCGACUAAAACCUGAAACAAAGGAGGGAGGCGGCGUUUACUCGGCCUUCCUGCGGUGAAAGUCCUGGAUCGACUCUCUUGCCCCCUAUCGUCCUCCAAUUGAUCCUCUCCAUCUCACACUGUUGUAUGAUAAAAAUGAUGAUUUGGUUUACAGAGAAGCGUUUGAGCCAAUACAGGGGGAAAAUGGGAUGCUCAAUAAGUAAAAGUAUUUACAUAAGGAAGCAAGGUGUGGCAGCGGCCUCCACCUUGACGCCAGAGCAGAGUGAGUGGUUUAUGAUGAGUUUGACAUCUUUUCCAUACUUUUUCACUUUCACUAGGUCAUAAAGCUUGAGAACUGGGACCCAUGGUGAGAAAAUGCCAAUUGGCAAAUGAUUGGCAACAAGAUCAAAUACCCAAUGUGUUGUACUCUCCCAGUACUGAAUGUUUUUGUAUUCAAGGUACCAUGGUGGACGGAGGGGUGUUGGAGCAUGUGACUUUAGCGCGAUUCCAUGGCAGAGAACUCUCGGACCAUGAGGACGCCGCACAGCUGUUGAGCUCGCUGCCGGACUCAUUGUGGUCCGAGGGUCCUGCAGACGGGGGUUUAUGUACAUCCGUGACUCCGGUAACAUUCGAGGUAAACCCGACUGCUUUUGUUAACGUGCCGUAGUAUACUUGUAAACAAGAGGCCAUAGAAGAUAUCGCGGAAACCCAAAUUCUGAAAUCCCAAUGCUUUGGUCCAUAAAUGAUGUUAUGAAACCCUCCGCUCAAGCUGCAGAACUGCUGGCCAGGUGCGGGGCACUAGAGUUAUCUGAAGGUCAGAGUGUUACUAUUUAUUAAUGGUGCUGAAAAAAGUAGCAGGCUAAUAAAUGGAUGCUGAAGGAAAAUAUGUUGUUAAACGGGAUCAGUUAAUUGACUUUCUCCCUGCAGUAACAGUUGAUGUGGUGCGCGACCUCCAGGACGCGGCGCCGAAGGAAGACAAGCGUAAGUGGCAAGAGACAGGUGCUGAGUAUGAUGACAAGGAGAACCUAGGAGACUGAUGUUACCUACAGGAAAGUUAUGUGUCAAUGCUGAAGAAGCUGCGCUUUUGGUGGCACCCUUAUCUUCUGUGUAAGGUAAAAUAUUUUUGUGUUUUUUGUGAUAUAUGUCGAGAUAUCAGUGUUUGCCCUACAACGAAGAGGGAAUUGCAACACACUGAGAUGGGCCGAGGCCUGAAUUUAUGUGGUGGUAAUGGACUGAACCGGCAAUGGUAGUCCCAGUCCAAAGCGUAAGGUACUUAUUAAUAAUUGUCAGCACUUUUUCUGGAUGGCCCAAAGGCUAUCCUUGUGCAAAAGAAAACGUGCCGUCUGUCGACAAAGCGCUGGUUAACCAUUAUAUUCCGACGUAUGAGCUUCCACGAGUAAUCAGAUCGGACAAGUGAUUCUACUUGUCCCAAACAUGUCCUGCGCAGGCCUCUAUUGUGAAAAAAAAAAACGUGGACUAAGUGUGAAUGGUAUAAAUAUUCGGUGCGAUACGUUUUAUAAAUUGUGUACACAAUAUAAAGCAAACCUUAGAACUUUGAUGAAUAAAAUUAUAUGACUAUAUAUGUAAAAAGGUAUAAAGCGCUUCAAAGGGUACCCAUUAUAUUUAUUAACUAAAUAAAUAAGGCAUACAUAUUGUAUGUAUAAAUAGGUAUGCAUAUGAUAUUCUGGAAGAUAAAUUAAAUAAUAGAUAAAUUAAGACGUGUGCCGGACGGAUGUGAUCAAGCAAGAGUGGUAUCGUGACUUUCUAUUUCCGGGUCAGCAGAGCGGACCAGAGCGGCUCUGCGUGCCUGGGAUAAAAGCCUGACAACAGUACGGGAGGUUUGUGGUCUAAGAAAACGCUUCGGAGUUUGAAUAAAUGACGUGCAAGUUGCUAUCUGAGCUGGUGAAUGGGAUUUGAUAUAUAUUGCUUAGAGAGGGGGCGGCACGGUGGACGACUGGUUGGAGCGUCGGCCUCACAGUUCUGAGGACCCGGGUUCGGUCCCCGGCCCCGCCUGUGUGAAGUUUGCGUGUUCUCUCCGUGCCUGCGUGGGUUUUCUCCGGGCACUCCGGUUUCCUCCCACAUCCCAAUAACAUGCAUGGUAGGUUAAUUGGAGACUCUAGAUUGCCCGUAGGUGUGAAUGUGAGUGCGAAUGGUUGUUUGUUUGGAUGUGCCCUGCGAUUGGCUGGCAACCAGUCUGGGGUGUGCCCCGCCUCCUGCCCGAUGAUAGCUGGGGUGGGCUCCAGCGCGCCCGCGACCCUAGUGAGGAGAAGCGGCUCAGAAAAUGGAUGAGUGCUUAAAAGAGCACUUGAAGUGAAGGUGCACCAAAUGGUUUAUGAAAGGACACAGGGGUCCUCAGCUGGGGGGGGGGGCAGCUUUACGACGGGCGUGUGUGAGUUUUCCGAGUUUAUGGUAUUGCAAGGGCCAGGGAGAUUUACAAUAGGAUCGUUUAAUUAAUGCAUUGUAUAGAAGCCUGGUCUGUACUGGUUUAGGUGUUAUGGUUCAACCAAUAAGUGUGCUGUGUUCAGUUUUGUCUGUGUGGUGUAUGUGAGAGGACAUUCACUCCUGGGUCCAGGUUAAUGUUAUUGUCUGUGAAGUCUCGAUUGUCAUGUCAUGUUAAUUGUUUAUGUUUUGUCUUUAAUGUUUGUGUCGUCUUAAUUAAAAGCAGAAAUGGAGCACUACUGAGCUGGCUGACAGGAGUAGUGAACGAUGUGAUCACGUGAAAGAGACUAUAGACCUUUAGUUACCAAUGAAUAACGGUCUAUAGACUGUUGAAAGACUGAUUUGUUGAAAUAACAUUAUUUUACAGGACGCCCAGGAGGAUGGAGCUUGAUAGUGUAUUGCAUGAUGUUGGUGUGCUGACUUAACGCUGAUUUUAUGUGAUUCUUGGUUUAUUGACAUUAACACUUUUGUGAGACAAAUUAACAAUUGGUUGGGGAAUAAUAUCAAUGUUGGGUGACAAUUGCCAACUUGUCCCUUCUCUGGAGUAUGUAUACAGGAAUUAUGUAGUCCAUCGCUUUGGCACGGGUAUCUUUUGCAGAGUUGUGAUUAAUUUAUAUAAGGGUUUGUUUGCAGGUCUGGUCAGGGGCCUCUCCGACGAAGGAGACGACCUGCUUGUUUGUGUAUGGUGUUGUGUGUGGGUACUGUGUUUUGGUGUUAAAUUAGUCAUUUAACAAAGGGGGAAAUAUGUACAUCCUGUAUGUCUGGUCAAAGAAGGUUAUAAUCAUGACUCUGGUGAUCUCCCUGAUUACAGUUACAGGAAUCUAUUUUGGAAUGCCUUCAAUACAAGGAGAAAGAGUAACAAAGAGGGCCGUGAAGCCAGCAGGGGCCCUAGAAUUGAACUACACAUUGGGGGAAAAGACGUUGGAGGCAAGUGAUUAUCCACUCGAAACCGGGAUACUGGGAGCCGACGAAGAUUAGGAAUUGGCGGUGGAAGGACAAGAUCAAAUUGGAAAGAGUUAGUAUGCACUCAGUAACCCCGAGGGACCGACAUCCCGUAUUAUUGACCUUGUAUGAUAUAACUAGCACCCCGUGGAGAGAGUGGGGCAAACCAGUAGCGACCUUUACAGUCUUGACCUUGGGUAUAAAUGUCUCAGGGACUGAUCCACUAGGACAGAUUAUUAUUAAUUGGAUACGACCGACUAAAAGUUCAUCUAGUCCGAUAAUGAGAAAAUUUGCUAACAUACCGUCCCUUCCCUUCCCUACCCUGCAUCACACAAAAUAAGAGUAAGGUAACUUUGGGCCCAAAUAAAAAACUUUCCUGAUCAAUUGGCCACCUGGAUCCACAGUUUUGUAAAUUCACACUUUUUAUUGAUUGUUAGGAUGCGGCCCGAUUAAGUAAGAUGAGGUCUGAUUUGUGGUGGAUGUGUGGUGUUGUUCUGUUGUGGGACUUCCUGCCCGGGGAAUGGACAGGCACUUGUGCAUUGGUUUCUAUGAUAACCCCCACUGUGAUCAAGCCUCUCUCUCAGCAGGAGAUCAACCAUAUGGCGGAUUUCACCUGGGAGAGUGACUGGUGUGGGGGGUGUUAAUUCAUUUUCUCAGGAGACUUGUUCUCAGGUUUGCUCUCAAGGCCUUUGAAGAGAAGAACCCCCACUGCCAAGAUCUGCAGCUGCCGUUGAAAGAGGACGGGGAGACGAUGAGCGCGCUCGCUGCCUUGAUCGACGCCUUUGUAUUCACAAAUUUUUUCAAUUUGCUGUGUUUACAUUAGGUUUUGUUGAGUUUUGUCGUGAAAUAGGCUGUAGGUAUAGGGGUUGUUGAUCUUCUGAUUAUCAGAAGAUCAACUUGGGGGAUUGAAGGGAAUAUAGAAUACUUUAUAUUCUAAUAUGUAAUUCUAUAUGUAAUAGAAUAUAAUAUAGAGUUUCAGGGUCUAACUAGCUUGGAAGAGGAUGUGUAUUACAGUAUAAUCAGAUAAGGGGGUAGGGGUUUUAUUGCAGGAAAACCCCCCCAUCAGGUGGUAUUUGGAGACACAUCUCAAGGAAGAAAGGAACUGCGGGGAGCCACUAUAAACAUUGAAUGCAGGAAUGCAGGCGACACCUGGAGCAGAAGUCUGGAGCCAGAUCAAAUGGUCAUCAUUCUGCAGGACAACGAUGACGUCAGAUUACGGACCAAUCAGACGACAGCGAUUACAUACUGGCCUGUUUGAAACAUUGUAUAAGUCUGGGGUAGAAUCAGAUAGUUUCAGUUCGACUACUUUAUCUGCUAAGGAUAAGAUGGGGUAGUUACGAACCCAGAGCUCUGCAAAUGUAUAGACUCCUCUGUCAGGAAUAAAUUGGUUGGUUUUGAUA